UACGUAGGUGGCAAGCGUUAUCCGGAUUUACUGGGUGUAAAGGGCGUGUAGGCGGGACUGCAAGUCAGAUGUGAAAACCACGGGCUCAACCUGUGGCCUGCAUUUGAAACUGUAGUUCUUGAGUACUGGAGAGGCAGACGGAAUUCCUAGUGUAGCGGUGAAAUGCGUAGAUAUUAGGAGGAACACCAGUGGCGAAGGCGGUCUGCUGGACAGCAACUGACGCUGAGGCGCGAAAGCGUGGGGAGCAAACGGG
This 253-nucleotide ribosomal RNA is filed under the name uncultured bacterium. RNAcentral describes it as "partial 16S ribosomal RNA". It matches the Rfam family "Bacterial small subunit ribosomal RNA", at positions 524 to 776 of the family's 1533-position model. The record is from RNAcentral.